CACUCCUGCGGGAGGCAGCAGUGGGGAAUUUUGGACCAUGGGCGAAAGCCUGAUCCAGCAAUGCCGCGUGUGUGAAGAAGGCCUUCGGGUUGUAAAGCACUUUUGUCCGGAAAGAAAUCCUUGGCUCUAAUACAGUCGGGGGAUGACGGUACCGGAAGAAUAAGCACCGGCUAACUACGUGCCAGCAGCCGCGGUAAUACGUAGGGUGCGAGCGUUAAUCGGAAUUACUGGGCGUAAAGCGUGCGCAGGCGGUUUGCUAAGACCGAUGUGAAAUCCCCGGGCUCAACCUGGGAACUGCAUUGGUGACUGGCAGGCUAGAGUAUGGCAGAGGGGGGUAGAAUUCCACGUGUAGCAGUGAAAUGCGUAGAGAUGUGGAGGAAUACCGAUGGCGAAGGCAGCCCCCUGGGCCAAUACUGACGCUCAUGCACGAAAGCGUGGGGAGCAAACAGGAUUAGAAACCCCUGUAGUCC
RNAcentral lists this ribosomal RNA (470 nucleotides) under uncultured organism. RNAcentral describes it as "partial 16S ribosomal RNA". It matches the Rfam family "Bacterial small subunit ribosomal RNA", at positions 334 to 796 of the family's 1533-position model. The record is from RNAcentral.